Perognathus longimembris pacificus (Pacific pocket mouse) is the source of this 424-nucleotide long non-coding RNA. RefSeq lists it as uncharacterized. The record is from RefSeq and is a predicted model, not a curated record. The transcript has 2 exons. NCBI's taxonomy places the organism in Eukaryota, Metazoa, Chordata, Mammalia, Rodentia, Heteromyidae.
GGGGGAACGGGAGCUGGAAUGAGGCGGGGCGGGGCCGAGCGGAGGUGAGGAAGAGUGGAGGAAUCGUCGAGUUACGGAGCGCCAUUAAGGACAAGUUUGGCCACGUGAUUUUCCUUUUUUUUUUUUUUUUUUUUUUUGUUUUCCCGCCCUGGUGAGACUGUAAGGUUGAGGUCCAAGAAGGGAAAGUUUGAUUGGAGAAGAUGAAAAAGAAAUUGGAAACUGGAUAUGGUUGGUGAGGAAGUUGGAAGAAGGAGCCUGGACUUAGGAAAGUCCCACAGUGGAACUUCCGCAACCAUUUACGCCCUACGACAUUAAAGGAAAAAAAAAACAACAAACCACCUGUGAGCGGAGAGACUUCCCAUUCAGUCAUUGGCAUCAGCAUGCAGGCAGCUGCUCCAGAAGCAAAGGAAAGGACUACAGGGAA